RNAcentral lists this ribosomal RNA (460 nucleotides) under uncultured bacterium. Its description in RNAcentral is "partial 16S ribosomal RNA". It matches the Rfam family "Bacterial small subunit ribosomal RNA", at positions 338 to 795 of the family's 1533-position model. The record is from RNAcentral.
CCUACGGGUGGCAGCAGUGAGGAAUAUUGGUCAAUGGGCGCAAGUCUGAACCAGCCAUGCCGCGUGAAGGAAGACGGCCCUAUGGGUUGUAAACUGCUUUUGUAGGAGGAUAAAAGCCGGGACGUGUCCCUGUCUGAAUGUAUCGUAAGAAUAAGCAUCGGCUAACUCCGUGCCAGCAGCCGCGGUAAUACGGAGGAUGCAAGCGUUAUCCGGAUUUAUUGGGUUUAAAGGGUGCGUAGGCGGUCCGAUAAGUUCGAGGUGAAAGCCCGAGGCUCAACUUCGGAAUUGCCUCGGAUACUGUGCGGCUAGAGAGCAGUAGCGGUAGGCGGAAUGUAUGGUGUAGCGGUGAAAUGCUUAGAGAUCAUACAGAACACCGAUUGCGAAGGCAGCCUACCAAGCUACUUCUGACGUUGAGGCACGAAAGUGUGGGGAGCAAACAGGAUUAGAUACCCCUGUAGUC